RNAcentral lists this ribosomal RNA (460 nucleotides) under Streptococcus gordonii. RNAcentral's name for it is "bacterial SSU rRNA". It matches the Rfam family "Bacterial small subunit ribosomal RNA", at positions 28 to 470 of the family's 1533-position model. Lineage: Bacteria; Bacillati; Bacillota; Bacilli; Lactobacillales; Streptococcaceae. The record is from RNAcentral.
GACGAACGCUGGCGGCGUGCCUAAUACAUGCAAGUAGAACGCACAGUUUAUACCGUAGCUUGCUACACCAUAGACUGUGAGUUGCGAACGGGUGAGUAACGCGUAGGUAACCUGCCUGGUAGCGGGGGAUAACUAUUGGAAACGAUAGCUAAUACCGCAUAAUAUUGAUUAUUGCAUGAUAAUUGAUUGAAAGAUGCAACUGCAUCACUACCAGAUGGACCUGCGUUGUAUUAGCUAGUAGGUGAGGUAACGGCUCACCUAGGCGACGAUACAUAGCCGACCUGAGAGGGUGAUCGGCCACACUGGGACUGAGACACGGCCCAGACUCCUACGGGAGGCAGCAGUAGGGAAUCUUCGGCAAUGGACGAAAGUCUGACCGAGCAACGCCGCGUGAGUGAAGAAGGUUUUCGGAUCGUAAAGCUCUGUUGUAAGAGAAGAACGGGUGUGAGAGUGGAAAGUU